Long non-coding RNA from Esox lucius (northern pike), 1488 nucleotides. RefSeq lists it as uncharacterized. The transcript is spliced from 4 exons. Lineage: Eukaryota; Metazoa; Chordata; Actinopteri; Esociformes; Esocidae. The record is from RefSeq and is a predicted model, not a curated record.
UAAGGGUUGACACUGUACACGACCCCAUUAGUCUUGUUUAACUUUCUGGCCAUACAUCUUCUGAAGUCUGAAUGGAAAAUAAAGGGGUCAUGUCCUUAAUCUAACAGAAACUUGCUCUUAACAGAUAAAGAUGGCCAUUAACUGUCAUUUUUCUGUACUCUGCAUGACAGCUGUCAGGGAAAAUGAAUAUGUCCCUGCAGGAAAGAUCAUUGCUGUGUCUAUUGUACACGGGGGACCAGCACCACAUUUCCUGUCAAAGGACCUCGUUAACCACAUUGUAGGGAAUCGCAGUUUUGGUGCCACUGUGGAAGAUAUCACAGAUGAGCAGAUAGGGAGAGUUCUGCAUCAGCUCCAUGUUCCAGACUGCUGGAUGCUUCCUACAUGUGAAGAGUUCUGAGGAUAGGCAAACUGUUGUGGAGGAAUACCUCAGAUGGUAUAUUCUACACAGAAACCAGAGUGUUAUUCAAAGAUUCAAAGAAGGACUUGCAAGUCUACAGUUUUUGACCGCACUCCAGCAGCAUCCGUGUGUGUUGGCCCCACUCUUGUGCCACUCUCAGAAUAACCUGACAGCUGCUGACAUGGAAAGACUGUUUAGUCCACACCUCAGUCCAGCAGGAAGUAACAGUCGUCAGAAAGAAGGCAAAGCACUUGGAUUUUGGGCAAAUUUUCUUCUUGAUUGUGAAGAAAAAGCACCUGCAGUGUCCCUAGAGGAUGUCCUGCUGUUUGCUACAGGGCUCGCAUCACUUCCACCUGCUGGAAUUACACCAUUACCAUGCAUCGAGUUCGUACCAAAUUCGCCUUUUCCAAUGUCACCUGUGCAAAUGACACCUGUGCAAAUAUGCUGAAGCUGCCUUUCCUUGAGACCUACAGUGUCUUUAAGACAAACAUGGAGUUUGCCUUACAGAAUUCUCCAGGCUUUGGAUGCAUUUAAUGCUGUGCCAAGUCUGGAUUUUGCACAGUCUUAAACAUGCAGUUCAUGAAGCAUAAGAGUGCAUGCUCAGUUCAAAGUAUCUUAAUUGGUAUUACUUCUGUUCAUCACUUUGUUCAAUGAAAAAAAUCAUAGAACAAAUGCUAAGUACAGGUCACAUUACAACUGUACUCAGCUAAAAUGUAUGUAGUUUCAUAUUUGAAACCGUCUAUAACGUUAGGUUGAAUAAUCCUUUAACUAUUGAAAUCUACAACCCUUUUUACCUCAGCCCAGUUGCUCCUAUGGCGUUUGCACUGUAUACCAUGCAGAAAUAAAUGUAAACAAUACCUCUUGAAAAGAACCACUUUUCUUUGGUUGUUCAGAUCUACAAUUGACACACAGUUACCUCGAUGGUGAAUCAGAAAAUAAACAAAUCGUUUGUGAGUUACAUUUGAGUUUAAUAUAUGUCUUGACUCUGGUAUGACACUGCAUAUACUGAUCUCCACUUCCCACACAUGAUACUCAAACAGCUGUUAGAAAUCGGCGGUUUCGUAUAGUGGUCAAAUAAUGUAUAACCCGUA